This is a long non-coding RNA of Camellia sinensis, 697 nucleotides long. RefSeq lists it as uncharacterized. The record is from RefSeq and is a predicted model, not a curated record. Lineage: Eukaryota; Viridiplantae; Streptophyta; Magnoliopsida; Ericales; Theaceae.
UCCCUAUAGCCAGAGUUGCUCUCUCUCUCUCUCUCUCUCGUCACUCUCUCACUCCCAAUCGGCAAUGAAACCCUAGCCACAAUGUCCAUUCACCUUGUCCCUUGUUUAGCUUCCGCCACCAGUUCCGAUGCCUCAUUUCUUGCAUUGCCACUUGUGACCGCUAGUCCAGGGUGAGCAUUCACCUACUCUAGAGGCUGAGAGUGCUCUUCACCAAUGCAUUUCUGCUUUCAAGGAGGAGCAGCAGCAAAAUCAACUUGAACUCAUUCUGACAAUUGGAAAGACUGGAAAGUUGGUGAUGAUCUUUCAAGGUCUAUGAGAGAUCUCUGUCAGGUUCUGGUGCUAGCCCAAAUGCAACUGCUGCUGCUCAAUUUGUGAGAGCUGAAAUGCUUCCAAGUGGCUAUUUCAUUCGGCCAUGCAAGGAUGGAGGGUCAAUUAUCCAUAAAGUUGAUGUGUUAGUUUGGAUCAGCUGCCAAGCAAGUUGAUAUGUUAAAUCAUUAAAGAAGGUGAAAGGCUUCAAGUUUGUGUCAUGUUGGACAUCAAAGAGGAUAUAGCUUUUGAGAAGACAUGCUUACUAAAUUAAAUUUGACUUGAAUAUGCCCUGUGCUGCACUACGGUUACAUAUUUUCAUCUUUAUUUUAAAUGGAAUUCAAUUAUUGUUUGAUGAUUUAGUGAAGUUAUAAGAAAGGAAAUUUGUUAA